Molecule: transfer RNA, 78 nt
Filed under: Herbiconiux daphne
Lineage: Bacteria; Bacillati; Actinomycetota; Actinomycetes; Micrococcales; Microbacteriaceae
Description: tRNA-Pro
Rfam family: tRNA
About the family: Transfer RNA (tRNA) molecules are approximately 80 nucleotides in length.
Source: RNAcentral
CUCCGUUUAGCUCAGUUUGGUAGAGCGCACCGUUUGGGACGGUGAGGUCGGCGGGUUCAAAUCCCUCAAUGGAGACCA